This is a long non-coding RNA of Pseudophryne corroboree (corroboree frog), 938 nucleotides long. RefSeq lists it as uncharacterized. The transcript has 4 exons. Lineage: Eukaryota; Metazoa; Chordata; Amphibia; Anura; Myobatrachidae. The record is from RefSeq and is a predicted model, not a curated record.
CGGGAGGUACCAUGUGACCAGGAAACACUUCAGAAAACUCCAGCUGACUAUUAAAUACGCAAAAGAAGCAGCACAGCCAGGCCUCAUCCCACACUGCCAAGAGAUGCAGAUGGUGGCAAUGCAGGUUCUUCUUCUGCAAACGCCUCUCCACUAAGGCGCCCAUCACAGGGCUUGGUUACUGUGGCUAGGAGGCCAAGCAAAAGACGCCGUCUUCAGGCUGAAUCCCCAGCACCAGCAUCACCACCCCAACGGCGCAUCUCCGCAGUGUCGGCCCUGUCACCACUAGCUAUUUUGGCCAGCCCACAAAGUGAGGAUCCACAAUCCCCUCAGUUGUGUGAACCAGCCAUCAUGCCCGAGGAUGCCCAGUAGGAAAGUGACCAGCAGGAUACAUACACUCUUCACCUGCAACCCAUAGAUGAUACCCAGACAACCAUGCCACAGGACAUACCCCAACCACCCCAAACAUCCCACAGCCCACAAUUGAGCACAACACCAGCCCAGACUCAAAUGGGCCCUGAGUUUUGGAGCGGUUGGGCCAAACAACAGGAACAAAACUAUGCGUGCCUUAACACCCACAGCCAAUACCUGGCAAGUCUGCCCCAUCAUCUGCCUAGACUGGCUCGAAACUCUGGCAGACUUAUCGUUCAAGUGGGAAGAAUAGCCAAUUCAAUGGAACAGAUGAGGGUAGACAACUGCCAAAUGGAAGCAAAUCUCGUACGCAUCAUGGAUGAACAACAGCGCGAACAACAAUCCCUAAUUCAGAUCAUCCAACACAACCACAUUAUUAAUGAAAACAUGUCCCGAAUAAUAGCAAGCCACACUGCAGCUAAUACGAAACUCACUGCCAGCCUCAAUAUACUCAGCCAAAGCCUUAUAGUUUUGGCAUCACACCAAGUCAGCUCUAGCUCGGGAACAACUACACCAAACCAGACCCCAGU